CCUACGGGUGGCAGCAGUGGGGGAUAUUGCACAAUGGGGGGAACCCUGAUGCAGCGACGCCGCGUGGGUGAAGGAGCGUUUCGGCGCGUAAAGCCCUAUCGGCAGGGAAGAAGAUGACGGUACCUGGCCAAGAAGCCCCGGAUAACUACGUGCCAGCAGCCGCGGGAAUACGUAGGGGGCAGGCGUUAUCCGGAUGUACUGGGCGUGAAGGGGGCGCAGACGGCAAUGCAAGCCAGGAGUGAAAGCCCGGGGCCCAAACCCGGGACUGCUGUUGAAACUGCAUGGCUGGAGUACGGGAGGGGCAGGCGGAAUUCGUAGUGUAGCGGUGAAAUGCGUAGAUAUUAGGAGGAACACCGGUGGCGAAGGCGGCCUGCUGGACUGUGACUGACGUUGAGGCCCGAAGGCGUGGGGAGCGAACAGGAUUAGAUACCCCUGUAGUC
This 440-nucleotide ribosomal RNA is filed under the name uncultured bacterium. RNAcentral's name for it is "partial 16S ribosomal RNA". It matches the Rfam family "Bacterial small subunit ribosomal RNA", at positions 338 to 795 of the family's 1533-position model. The record is from RNAcentral.